Molecule: ribosomal RNA, 1354 nt
Filed under: Gonodactylaceus falcatus
Lineage: Eukaryota; Metazoa; Arthropoda; Malacostraca; Stomatopoda; Gonodactylidae
Description: 16S ribosomal RNA
Rfam family: Archaeal large subunit ribosomal RNA (bases 610-1354)
Source: RNAcentral
AAAUAAUCACUUAUUAAUAAAAGUAUUGUAACAUCUGAUUAAUAAUGAAAAUAAUCUUAUCUCUUUACCUAUAAGUAUUUAAUAAAGAAAUUUUAAUUAUAGAAUAAUAGCUGACAAGUACUGUAAAGGAAAGUUGAAAUAUGUGAAAAUCUAAUUUUAUAAUAGUAUAAAUAUAACCUAGUACCUUGUGUUUCAGGGGACUUAAAAUUAAGCUCAUUAACCGAGCAAUCCCGAAAUUUAGUGAGCUAGCUUGCUAUUAAUAGUUAACGUAGUAUAGUUAUUAUCAAUAACUUGCUAGGAGUGAAAUUCUAUACGCACUAAUAGGUAUCUGGUUUUUCAAUAAAUAAAUUUAAUUUAGCUCUUAAAAAUAUUUUUUUUAAGCAGUAAAAAUAGGAGGGAAAAGCUUCUUAUUUAAUAAUAACCUAACUACAGGUGAUUAAAUGUAAUCUAUUUAUCUAGGCUUAAAAUCAGUCAGGUUUCAAAAUCGUUAUAGGUUAUUUAUAAAGAAUUUAAUAUUUAAAAUCAUCUUAGUUCAAUUAUUGAAAAACUUAAUCGAAUUAUUCAUUUUUGAUUGUAAUUAAGUCAUUAGUAUAAAAUCUUGUAAAUUAAAAUUGCUAGUUUAAUAUUUUUACCUUUUUGAGGGUUAAUUAAUUGUACUAAGGAACUCGGCAACCACUCCUUCUGCCUGUUUAUCAAAAACAUGUCCAUAUGGUAAAAUGAUGUAUAUGGUCUGGCCUGCCCACUGAUGUUUAAUUAAAGGGCCGCGGUAUUUUGACCGUGCGAAGGUAGCAUAAUAAUUAGUCUCCUAAUUAGAGGCUUGUAUGAAUGGUCGGACAAGAUGGAAACUGUCUCAGUACAAACAAUAAAAUUUAAUAUUUAAGUAAAAAAGCUUAAAUAACAUGGAGGGACGAUAAGACCCUAUAAAGCUUUAUAGUAAUCCCUUUUUAUUCAAAAUAUAAAAUUUUAACCUGUUAAAAGAGUAUUACUAUUUUACUGGGGCGGUAGAAGUAUAUAACGAUUAACUGCUUUUGUCUUACUAAACAAUAAUAAUUGAAUAAUUAUGCGAUCCAUUAUUAAUGAUCAAAAGUACAAGUUACUUUAGGGAUAACAGCGUAAUUUUUCUUGAGAGUCCUCAUCGAAAGAAAAGUUUGCGACCUCGAUGUUGAAUUAAGGAAGCCUUAAGGUGCAGCAGUUUUAAUAGGCAGAUCUGUUCGAUCUUUAAAUCCUUACAUGAUUUGAGUUCAGACCGGCGUAAGCCAGGUUGGUUUCUAUCUUCCAUUAAUUGUAAACUUACUUUAGUACGAAAGGAUUUAGUAAGUCAAAUAUUUUGUUUUAAAGUUGAACUCCAUUAACU